GACGAACGCUGGCGGCGUGCUUAACACAUGCAAGUCGAGCGGAAAGGCCCUUCGGGGUACUCGAGCGGCGAACGGGUGAGUAACACGUGAGUAACCUGCCCCAGACUUUGGGAUAACCCUCGGAAACGGGGGCUAAUACCGGAUACGACACAGCUUCGCAUGGGGUCUGUGUGGAAAGUUUUUCGGAUUGGGAUGGGCUCGCGGCCUAUCAGCUUGUUGGUGGGGUGAUGGCCUACCAAGGCGACGACGGGUAGCCGGCCUGAGAGGGCGACCGGCCACACUGGGACGGGGCUGCGGCCCAGACUCCUACGGGAGGCAGCAGUGGGGAAUAUUGCACAAUGGGCGGAGGCCUGGUGCAGCGACGCCGCGUGAGGGAUGACGGCCUUCGGGUUGUAAACCUCUUUCAGCAGGGACGAAGCGUUAGUGACGGUACCUGCAGAAGAAGCGCCGGCCAACUACGUG
This 462-nucleotide ribosomal RNA is filed under the name uncultured bacterium. Its description in RNAcentral is "partial 16S ribosomal RNA". It matches the Rfam family "Bacterial small subunit ribosomal RNA", at positions 28 to 507 of the family's 1533-position model. The record is from RNAcentral.